GUGGGUGUAGCUCAGUUGGUUAGAGCGCCAGGUUGUGGCCCCGGAGGUCGUGGGUUCAAAUCCCAUCACUCACCCA
RNAcentral lists this transfer RNA (76 nucleotides) under Fidelibacterota bacterium. RNAcentral's name for it is "Candidatus Marinimicrobia bacterium tRNA-His". It matches the Rfam family "tRNA". From Rfam's summary of the family: Transfer RNA (tRNA) molecules are approximately 80 nucleotides in length. Their secondary structure includes four short double-helical elements and three loops (D, anti-codon, and T loops). Further hydrogen bonds mediate the characteristic L-shaped molecular structure. tRNAs have two regions of fundamental functional importance: the anti-codon, which is responsible for specific mRNA codon recognition, and the 3' end, to which the tRNAs corresponding amino acid is attached (by aminoacyl-tRNA synthetases). tRNAs cope with the degeneracy of the genetic code in two manners: having more than one tRNA (with a specific anti-codon) for a particular amino acid; and 'wobble' base-pairing, i.e. permitting non-standard base-pairing at the 3rd anti-codon position. The record is from RNAcentral. Lineage: Bacteria; Pseudomonadati; Fidelibacterota.